UUGAAUUUAAAAUUUUCCUUCUCUUCUCCCCUCCCCCAAGCUUCUAUGAUAUGAAACAAGGAUUUUAAGCAUCGCUACAUUUAAAGAUUUUAGAAGAUAAUGCUUGAUGAUGCCUGUGAUAUGCAGCCUGGGACAAAACACAGAAUUAGAUGCCUAUGAAACAAACGGCACAAAAAACUCCAAUGAACCAUGGGCAUAUGUGCACCCACGUCUGCAGGCUUUCACUCUGUGCUGAGAAAGCAGACACCCAGAUCUGCGGGCAGCACACAGAGCAGCCCAAAUCCUCCCGAGGAUUCUGAGCCUGAGUCCUGUCAUUUCCAAGGAAUCUUGCAGAAGGCUGAGGUGGAUCAUGUGAGGCCAGGAGUUUGAGGCUGUAGUGUGCUAUAAUUGCACAUGUGAAUAGCCACUGCACUCCAGCCUGAGCAACAUAGUGAGACACUGUCUCUACUAAAAAAGGAAAGAACCUUGCUACAAUUACUGGCUACUAGACCUAACAGUGGGAAUAACAGAGUAAGGACCUCCAGAAAUCUGCUCCUCCAUAAAAGCAAUGAGAACACUGGAAACAUGGUCUAAAUCAAUUUUUUCAGAGCUUUGGAAAUUAACUAAAGGAUUACAAGAACCAAAAGCAUGUUUGCUCAAGCUGAAUAUAGAUAAAGACAGCAUUUUGUGUUGUUUUAACUGUCCCUAAUUCUAUCUCCACUCCUCAGCUUUGUGGUAGCCUUGAAAACCAACAGACUUGAAGCUAUGAUAGCCAUUGAAGCCAGCAGCCACUGGAAGAGGCAAAUGGGGUUUGGAGUUCCCCUAAAGCCCCAUCCGUAGAACUGUCAGCAUUUAACCCACCUGGCCACUUAGCAAAGGUUCAUCCAUUCUCAGAACUCGGUCUGUGCAAGCAGCCCUAUCUGCAAGGCAUUUGUUGAGAACAAUCAGUGACAAUUGUUUCACAUCACAGCAGCCUGAGGCGGUGCUAACAGGCUAAUAAGAG
RNAcentral lists this long non-coding RNA (982 nucleotides) under Microcebus murinus (gray mouse lemur). RNAcentral describes it as "lncRNA (ENSMICG00000048348.1)". Lineage: Eukaryota; Metazoa; Chordata; Mammalia; Primates; Cheirogaleidae. The record is from RNAcentral.